GUUCCCCAAGUCUUACACUGC
This 21-nucleotide non-coding RNA is filed under the name Rattus norvegicus (Norway rat). Lineage: Eukaryota; Metazoa; Chordata; Mammalia; Rodentia; Muridae. The record is from RNAcentral.